AUGUCGAGGGUUGCUCGGCCGGUGAGCGGCACCAAGUUCCUGUCUCGGCGAGCGGCCACGUCCGGCCAUAAUCGUUGUGGUUGCUGCCUAGCACUAGAUGAGAUGCUGACACCAAGUCGCGGGACAACAGCGAAAAAUCCGCACACUAGGCGAGAUAUGGAUGGAGUAUGUUCCUGCAAGGGUGCCGACGGGUGUUUGUUUCGGAAGAUUCAGCACAAACUAGUACAAGCAAAGGUUAGUACGGAAGUAAUGUAUGCAUCAUUGUUUCGGUUUUCCAAUGCUUCCUUCUUUGCAUUGGUAAAGAUGUUUUUGCAUUUGCCACAUGUCUUGAUCUUAGAGUUGUAG
RNAcentral lists this ribosomal RNA (345 nucleotides) under Triticum aestivum (bread wheat). RNAcentral's name for it is "partial small subunit ribosomal RNA". The record is from RNAcentral. Lineage: Eukaryota; Viridiplantae; Streptophyta; Magnoliopsida; Poales; Poaceae.